GAUGAACGCUGGCGGCGUGCCUAAUACAUGCAAGUCGAGCGAACAGACGAGGAGCUUGCUCCUCUGACGUUAGCGGCGGACGGGUGAGUAACACGUGGAUAACCUACCUAUAAGACUGGGAUAACUUCGGGAAACCGGAGCUAAUACCGGAUAAUAUAUUGAACCGCAUGGUUCAAUAGUGAAAGACGGUUUUGCUGUCACUUAUAGAUGGAUCCGCGCCGCAUUAGCUAGUUGGUAAGGUAACGGCUUACCAAGGCAACGAUGCGUAGCCGACCUGAGAGCGUGAUCGGCCACACUGGAACUGAGACACGGUCCAGACUCCUACGGGAGGCAGCAGUAGGGAAUCUUCCGCAAUGGGCGAAAGCUUGACGGAGCAACGCCGCGUGAGUGAUGAAGGUCUUCGGAUCGUAAAACUCUGUUAUUAGGGAAGAACAAAUGUGUAAGUAACUAUGCACGUCUUGACGGUACCUAAUCAGAAAGCCACGGCUAACUACGUG
RNAcentral lists this ribosomal RNA (497 nucleotides) under uncultured bacterium. RNAcentral's name for it is "partial 16S ribosomal RNA". It matches the Rfam family "Bacterial small subunit ribosomal RNA", at positions 28 to 507 of the family's 1533-position model. The record is from RNAcentral.